This is a long non-coding RNA of Eupeodes corollae, 1642 nucleotides long. RefSeq lists it as uncharacterized. The record is from RefSeq and is a predicted model, not a curated record. The transcript has 5 exons. NCBI's taxonomy places the organism in Eukaryota, Metazoa, Arthropoda, Insecta, Diptera, Syrphidae.
GGAAAUAUAUUAUCUAGAGUCCCGACCGGUACCCGUCCUACCUGAAACACCCUCAAAUUUUAUUCGAGGUGAACUCUCUCAAAUUCGAGGUAAACUCUCUCAAAUUCGCUAUCGGUGAAUACAUGUGAGUGGAGAAAAAAAAGCAAAAUGGGGGAUUGGGCUAAAAAGAAACUUAUGGAAUUUUUGUGACCUGUCAAAAAUGACAAACAAAUUUUGCAAAACAAAACAAUGGGUUUCGGAUUUUAAGAACCAAAAUUCUUUAUAAUGAAGGGGGUAUACAAGUUCAGUUCAUUGAAGUCAAAUUGCAGUGAAGAAGAUGCAACAAUCGAGUUAUUUUAUAGUCUGUCUUUUCAUUUUAGAUAUUGCCAUAAUGCAGGAAGCAAUUUCCCUUAUAUAAUAUUUCUCUUAACAAAAUAAUAUCAAUGUUUUUAACUACAGUUACUGCCCAUUGUUUUUGUAUGUACUUCUCAACUGCAAUAGCUGCCGCAGGUGUUGACGGCGGAGGUAUCACCAUCAAAACCAUUAGAAACUACACGACCAAGUCAAUGAUGCAAGUGGAAGUUUUGCCAUGUAAUAGUUGACCGCUGACGCCCUUCUCCAUCGAUUGUGUAAGUGUAAAGAGUACUACCAGUCUGCAGUUCUGCAAGAGACGCAAACUAAACAAGAAUACAAACGCAGGAAAACUCCAAAAAUGUCCAACCCUGACUGUGAGUUCAAAUUUUAAAUCUACAACGAAUCCAUUCAUUUUGCUCCUAAGGAUCGCACUGGCUUAACGGUGCCAAUCAUUCGGAGGCAAAUGAGCUGGCCCGACAAGUAUCCCCAAGAAGCCAAACAGAUUCAGAUCAGUCUCUCGGCAGCUACUGACGAUGUCGGCGAGUUGAAUCCAUCGAUUUUCACACAGAAAAUCAACAUCAAAAAAAUCACGACAAUUCAGCAGCGUCAUGGUCAACCUGCCGAUCAACCAUUCACAGUGAACAACCCCUAUUCGUAGCAGAAUGCAAACACAAUGUCAUCAAGCCGGAGUACCAUCCAGGAUCGAUCAAGUAUCGCAUUCAAUUGUUUGCUAACUAACAUGUGCCAGACGUUCUGCUUGUGCGUUGUGAAGAGCCACUGAAGCCUGGCACGUCCACUGAAUUGAUCCUCAAGCUUACUAACCCAACGAUGUACUAUAAGACCACAACCAUUAUGAAACUGCCAACCAAGGAAGAAGAACGGCGAAUGAUUACUUCGAAUAAAAGUUCAACGAAAGGAACCAAAAUUCACCACUUGGAGAAAGUCCAAUAACGUAACAAUCAAAUUGAACUUCACAUCUGAAGAAGGACUGAAACCAGGCGAUGAUGUUACCCUUAGUUUCUUGAUUAAAUAUACUUUUGUGAAUACAAACACACGCCCGAAAAGAAAGAACGUCAAAAACACGCAUUAUCAUCGAAAGUUUUUGUAAAAGUUGAAGCCUAGAUUUAUUUCUAUGUAUAUCUAGAAAAUAAUCUUUUUUGCAAAAAACUUGUUUAUUUAUUUUGAGCUAUAGUGUAAUUUUGUAUAUAUUGUAUAUUCUAUUGUUUCUUUGCUGACUAGGAUUAUUUUUAUUCAAAAUUAUUUAUGAUUUACUUUACUUAAUAAUAAAGGAAUUUGUUUUGAAUUCAAA